ACUCUUCAACCCACCAGUUUCUUGUAAAUUGGAUUAGUGUUUGGAUUUUGAGUGUUGCUAUUCCUAGUUGAAUCAGCUCAUUCGUAAUAUAUUAGCAUCUCUAAUUCGAACUCGGAUUGACUCAGUGUAAUAGACUAUUCGCUGAGGACACGCUCUUUGUAGUGUGGCCGAAUGAGAUCUCAGUAGAAGCUUCCAACUACUUUAGUCAACUUUAG
RNAcentral lists this unclassified non-coding RNA (215 nucleotides) under Leucosporidium golubevii. Its description in RNAcentral is "partial internal transcribed spacer 2". Lineage: Eukaryota; Fungi; Basidiomycota; Microbotryomycetes; Leucosporidiales; Leucosporidiaceae. The record is from RNAcentral.